RNAcentral lists this ribosomal RNA (526 nucleotides) under uncultured bacterium. RNAcentral describes it as "bacterial SSU rRNA". It matches the Rfam family "Bacterial small subunit ribosomal RNA", at positions 60 to 679 of the family's 1533-position model. The record is from RNAcentral.
AGUCGAACGAAGUGGCGAACGGGUGAGUAAUACGUGAGUAACUACCUUUAACUCUGGGAUAAGCCCGGGAAACUGGGUCUAAUACCGGAUAGUUAUAGAUGGGCUCACGGCCUAUCAGCUUGUUGGUGAGGUAACGGCUCACCAAGGCGACGACGGGUAGCCGGCCUGAGAGGGGACCGGCCACACUGGGCUGAGACACGGCCCAGACUCCUACGGGAGGCAGCAGUGGGGAAUAUUGCACAAUGGGCGCAAGCCUGAUGCAGCGACGCCGCGUGAGGGAUGACGGCCUUCGGGUCGUAAACCUCUGUUAGCAGGGAAGCGGUACCUGCAGAGAAAGCGCCGGCUAACUACGUGCCAGCAGCCGCGGUAAUACGUAGGGCGCGAGCGUUGUCGGGAAUUAUUGGGCGUAAAGAGCUUGUAGGCGGUUUGUCGCGUCUGCUGUGAAAGGCCGGGGCUUAACUCCUGUAUUGCAGUGGGUACGGGCAGACUAGAGUGCAGUAGGGGAGACUGGAAUUCCUGGUGUAGC